This 369-nucleotide ribosomal RNA is filed under the name uncultured organism. RNAcentral's name for it is "bacterial SSU rRNA". It matches the Rfam family "Bacterial small subunit ribosomal RNA", at positions 527 to 896 of the family's 1533-position model. The record is from RNAcentral.
GUAGGGUGCGAGCGUUAAUCGGAAUUACUGGGCGUAAAGCGUGCGCAGGCGGUUAUGUAAGACAGGUGUGAAAUCCCCGGGCUUAACCUGGGAACUGCAUUUGUGACUGCAUAGCUAGAGUACGGUAGAGGGGGAUGGAAUUCCGCGUGUAGCAGUGAAAUGCGUAGAUAUGCGGAGGAACACCGAUGGCGAAGGCAAUCCCCUGGACCUGUACUGACGCUCAUGCACGAAAGCGUGGGGAGCAAACAGGAUUAGAUACCCUGGUAGUCCACGCCCUAAACGAUGUCAACUGGUUGUUGGUCCUUCACUGGAUCAGUAACGAAGCUAACGCGUGAAGUUGACCGCCUGGGGAGUACGGCCGCAAGGUUG